RNAcentral lists this ribosomal RNA (376 nucleotides) under uncultured bacterium. Its description in RNAcentral is "bacterial SSU rRNA". It matches the Rfam family "Bacterial small subunit ribosomal RNA", at positions 28 to 404 of the family's 1533-position model. The record is from RNAcentral.
GACGAACGCUGGCGGCGUGCUUAACACAUGCAAGUCGAGCGGUAAGGCCCUUUCGGGGGUACACGAGCGGCGAACGGGUGAGUAACACGUGGGUGACCUGCCUUUAGCUCUGGGAUAAGCCUGGGGAAACUGGGUCUAAUACCGGAUACGACUCCGCGGUGCAUGCUGUGGGGUGGAAAGCCUUGUGCGGCUGGAGAUGGGCCCGCGGCCUAUCAGCUUGUUGGUGGGGUGAUGGCCUACCAAGGCGACGACGGGUAGCCGGCCUGAGAGGGCGACCGGCCACACUGGGACUGAGACACGGCCCAGACUCCUACGGGAGGCAGCAGUGGGGAAUCUUGCGCAAUGGGCGAAAGCCUGACGCAGCGACGCCGCGUGA